RNAcentral lists this unclassified non-coding RNA (240 nucleotides) under soil metagenome. Its description in RNAcentral is "partial contains 5.8S ribosomal RNA, internal transcribed spacer 2, and large subunit ribosomal RNA". The record is from RNAcentral.
AACCUAGCACACCUGCGGUGUGUACCUGCGGAAGGAUCAUUAACGAAUAACUAGAUGUGGUUGUAGCUGGCUUCUAGGAGCAUGUGCACGCCCGUCUUCUUAUCUUUCCACCUGUGCACCAAAUGUAGGCUUGGAUAACUCUCGCCCUCGGGCGGAUGCGAGGAUUGUCUUCGGACUCUCCUCGAAUUUCCAAGUCUAUGUCUUUCACAAACCCCAAUUGAAAAACGCAGAAUGUAGUCA